Molecule: long non-coding RNA, 649 nt
Organism: Prinia subflava (tawny-flanked prinia)
Lineage: Eukaryota; Metazoa; Chordata; Aves; Passeriformes; Cisticolidae
Exons: 3
Source: RefSeq, a predicted model, not a curated record
ACAGCUCCCGUGGCAGGCAGGCACACCUGAGCCAGAGGUGCCAGCCCCGGUGCCUGGCAGUGCCUCCUGUCCCCUCCUGUCCCCUCCUGGGAGCCCCCGGGCAGGUGCGGGCUCACCUGGCUCACCCCACACUCACUGAUGGCUCCACACCGCUGGGAAAGACCUUGGAGAACACUGAGUCCCGAGGAGCAGCAGGAGAGGAAGGAACGGAGGGGUUCAUCCAUCUGUGAGGUAAGAAAACAGCAAAAUAACAACCACAGAGACUUUUCAGAAGUUGCUGUUCCAUUGUGUCCGAAAUCAUUUGCCAGUAACAGCUGAGACUUCAUCCUUAGGAGGAAUAAAUGUGGUCCCACUGGAUCCUGCAGUGAUUUCAGGUACUACAAGAGCAUCUGGAUUUGGGGAUUCAGGCAGAUGUAACAAUCUGAGGUUGGCCAGAUCAAGAUUUUGGCUCGAGAGGUGUGAAACCCAGAGCAGGAUCCCCACAGUCAGCCCUGAGAUGCCUUCUGACUUGAAUAUUUAGGCCAGCACGGACACUGUGCUCUCCCAGUCCCUGAGGAGCCAGCAGGAGCCCGGGCAGGCUGCACUGAGCAUCACUGGAGACGUUCCAUGCUUGGCCUGUUCCUAGAAGGGUUCAGGACAAGGGGUGCAG